ACGGGAGGCAGCAGUGGGGAAUAUUGCACAAUGGGGGAAACCCUGAUGCAGCGACGCCGCGUGAGUGAAGAAGUAUUUCGGUAUGUAAAGCUCUAUCAGCAAGGAAGAAAAUGACGGUACUUGACUAAGAAGCCCCGGCUAACUACGUGCCAGCAGCCGCGGUAAUACGUAGGGGGCAAGCGUUAUCCGGAUUUACUGGGUGUAAAGGGAGCGUAGACGGCAUAGCAAGUCUGAAGUGAAAUGCAUGGGCUCAACCCAUGAACUGCUUUGGAAACUGUUAAGCUAGAGUGCAGGAGGGGUAAGUGGAAUUCCUAGUGUAGCGGUGAAAUGCGUAGAUAUUAGGAGGAACACCAGUGGCGAAGGCGGCUUACUGGACUGUAACUGACGUUGAGGCUCGAAAGCGUGGGGAGCAAACAAGAUUAGAUACCCUGGUA
Molecule: ribosomal RNA, 434 nt
Filed under: uncultured Lachnospiraceae bacterium
Lineage: Bacteria; Bacillati; Bacillota; Clostridia; Lachnospirales; Lachnospiraceae
Description: partial 16S ribosomal RNA
Rfam family: Bacterial small subunit ribosomal RNA
Source: RNAcentral